This is a long non-coding RNA of Anguilla anguilla (European eel), 1947 nucleotides long. RefSeq lists it as uncharacterized. NCBI's taxonomy places the organism in Eukaryota, Metazoa, Chordata, Actinopteri, Anguilliformes, Anguillidae. The record is from RefSeq and is a predicted model, not a curated record. The transcript is spliced from 3 exons.
CGACACGAUUUCCCCAAUUUAGGAGUUAAAACAAUGGCUAAACAAACACGCGUGCGUAUGAAAAAAUGUACCUUCAUACUAUUAAUUAAAAUCUCAUCAGACCCACAGAACAACAUGUUGCCAAUCCGAUAGCUACUAGUAAGUGAAAUGGAGAUGGAAACGAUGUUAUUCCACAAGAACUGCAGCUCAGUACUGUUCAGCGAGUAGGCGUGGCGCGACCUCGAGCCCAGUGCUCUCACAGACGGGGAGAGAGAGGCUUAGGCAAGAAAAGAGAGAGGGGAGGGUCGAAGCUGCAUUGUGGGUCUGUGCUUUGGGCACGUAUAGACACGGACGCCCCCUGGUGGAGGUAUCGGUACAGUGCAUUCAAAGACACAGACCAGAGGUGGAUGCUGCACAGCGGCGCAGUGGGCUGGCUCUUGCGGUCAGUGGUCCAUCCCCUCGGAGGCCAGUGAUGGACAGAAGGAAGCAAAGCUACAUGGAGUUACAGAAGCAAGAGAGAGACUGAGGGCGUCACUGACUGGGGGGUGGGGGGUGCACACAGGCUCCUCUGCAGUAUUUUACACAGGGGGCGGAGUGGAGUGGAGGCAACAGACCUCAGGCCUUACUUGCCUUGCUGACGUCGGGAGAGCGCACGCGGGCCCCCUCGGCUUCGCUAAAGGCCACGUUGACGGCGAACUGGAUGGCGAGGCCGGUCAUGGUGCCGGUGGAGAGCGGCUCGAUGCGGGUGACGGCUUUGAUCAGCGCAGCCUUGGUGCGGUGGGUCUUCAGCGACACCUCGUUCUUCACCCGGCUGGCGUAGUUGAUCACGCCCACGCGGGUGGCGUUGGGUCCGACGUUCAGCCCCUCAAUCACCUUAGCCAGGAACACCUUCACCUGCUCAAACUCGGAUGGCCGUACACUGCGGGAGCUGUCCACUAUGAAUACCAGGUCUGUGGGGCGAGUCUUGCACAGGCCGGCAGCUGUAUGGGGAGAGAAGCAGAGAGAGGCUGCUGAGACAGUCUGCAGCUAACAUAGAUGUGAAGUUGAGGUUGGCACACAGCCUCAGUGUAUUUGCUCCCGCUCUCUGUUUGUCUAUCUGCGUUUAAAUACAUAGAGCCUUUCACCAUAUAUGCCCGAGCCAGAGGCCACAAAAACUCUUUAAAACGUGAAUACUCAAGCGCUGCUCCCGUUACAGUCUGUGCCAUUCAUGAUCAGAUCAUGGCAUCGAGGAGGGGUUAGUGGGUCCGCUUUUUUUUUUAGGGCACAGGUUUGAAUCUCAGGUUUGCAACUUAUUCUGUUUACCCUCAAGUUAAACUACCGUGAAUGUGAUAUUUUGAUUGAAUGCCCUUUUGGGCUGAAUGGUGCUCCAGGUCCCACACACUGUAGGCAUUCAACCUGCCCUACUCCCCACCCCACUAGGGACCCCCUAGUUUAUCUUACUUACAGAGUGUGUUAUUCCACCAUGACCAGCGCCAGAAUUCUCAGCACACAUGGACACACACACACACACACACACACACACACCCUAGUUUCAUAGUGAAGGGUCCCUCAGCGCCUGAAUGUAAGCUCAGUCACGGUGGCUCUAGAGAGCCAGGCUGACAGAAGAACAGAAUUUUCAGAUGAAACAUUGUGGGGGAGAGAAGCAAAUUGCAUAUUUGGUUCAGAACCCUCCGUCCCCACCAAAGCAAAACAUCUCGACCCCAAAAAAAAAAAGAACUUAAAGCCAACUGUGUUUGAUGGGGGGAGCACCGAUCCCCCUGGGAGACCAGAGGAACUGUGGUACUCAGCUGCUUGGCAUAGCUGCAGGAACAAAGACAGCAGUGAGGUGCCGUGGAGCAGGAUGCUCCUCACGUAGGCACACCUUCCUGCUGCUGAGCACCACUGGAAACGCUGCUGCCGCUCAAUUGUAUCCACAGCAAUGACAGCUGUCUCUUCUAACCACUAGAAAGAGCAAAUAAACCUGAAAGG